UACAGAGGUGGCAAACGUUGUCCGGAAUUACUGGGUGUAAAGGGUCCGCAGGCGGCCUUGUAAGUCAAUGGUGAAAUGUCCCGGCUCAACCGGGUCACUGCCGUUGAAACUGCAGGGCUUGAGUACGAUAGAGGAGAGUGGAAUUCCCAGUGUAGCGGUGAAAUGCGUAGAUAUUGGGAGGAACACCAGUGGCGAAGGCGGCUCUCUGGAUCGAUACUGACGCUCAGGGACGAAAGCUAGGGGAGCAAAC
Molecule: ribosomal RNA, 250 nt
Filed under: uncultured bacterium
Lineage: Bacteria
Description: partial 16S ribosomal RNA
Rfam family: Bacterial small subunit ribosomal RNA
Source: RNAcentral